UGGGGAAUCUUGCGCAAUGGGCGAAAGCCUGACGCAGCGACGCCGCGUGAGUGAUGAAGGCCUUCGGGUUGUAAAGCUCUGUGGAGGGGGACGAAUAAGUGUCGUCGAAUAGACGGCAUGAUGACGGUACCUCUUUAGCAAGCACCGGCUAACUCUGUGCCAGCAGCCGCGGUAAGACAGAGGGUGCAAACGUUGUUCGGAAUUACUGGGCGUAAAGCGCGUGUAGGCAGCUCGGAAAGUCGGAUGUGAAAGCCCUGGGCUUAACCCAGGAAGAGCAUUCGAAACUUCCGAGCUUGAGUUCCGGAGAGGAAGGCGGAAUUCUCGGUGUAGAGGUGAAAUUCGUAGAUAUCGAGAGGAACACCGGUGGCGAAGGCGGCCUUCUGGACGGUGACUGACGCUGAGACGCGAAAGCGUGGGGAGCAAACAG
This 427-nucleotide ribosomal RNA is filed under the name uncultured bacterium. RNAcentral's name for it is "bacterial SSU rRNA". It matches the Rfam family "Bacterial small subunit ribosomal RNA", at positions 355 to 775 of the family's 1533-position model. The record is from RNAcentral.